Molecule: long non-coding RNA, 1255 nt
Filed under: Coturnix japonica (Japanese quail)
Lineage: Eukaryota; Metazoa; Chordata; Aves; Galliformes; Phasianidae
Description: lncRNA (ENSCJPG00005007686.1)
Source: RNAcentral
AUGAUGGGAGGGGGCCGGGCCAUAUACACUCAUAUGGGCCCGCCCCUAAGCUCUCUCCCUCUGCCGUUCCCCCCCCUCCGCCCCACGCAACCAGGUCAGGCCUCUCCGGUCUCCACUCCCCCUUCCCCCCAUUAUCCCCAAUGGGUCCGUGCCGUAACCCGCUCCCCCGGAGGGAACGCGUGCUCUGCGGAAAUGAGUCCCCUGGGAAACGCGAUCCGCUUCACUGGCGUUCCGCCCUUGCUUUGGUUCCUACGGCCUACAGAGCCGGAGGAAGGCGAUCCCGGGAAGGGGGGGGGGUGGUGUCCUCAGAGGGGUGGGGACGUGUCAGCUGUGUCUCCACGGAGGGCUGUGUGUCCCCCCCCUACAGGUGGAGCUGCUGCUGCUGCUGCUCGUGUACCCCCGUGGGCGCCCCCCCCCACCACCCAAAACGAAGGGGGGCUGCGGGGAUACCUGAGAGUAUUGGCUCGGGCGCCCGGCCCCCCCCGGCCCAAAGCGUGCAGCCGCUACCUGCGGCGUUUGGCUGCCCGGAGCCUGGGGGGGUUACGGGAGGGCUUUGGCACGAUGGGGAGCCCCGGAGGGGGGUUACGGCUUUGCCUCCGUUUGGAGCCCGACAACGCGAUGCCUCCACAUCCUGCCGGUGCUGCUGCAGGUGGGGGGGGGGGCUCAGGGCUGAUCGGUGCGGUUGGAGUCGGGGGGAGCAGAAUUAAGGCUCACCCUGCGCCCCUCCCGGUUUCCCCCCCCACACUCCGUCCCUUUCACCUGCUGCUUUUCCCUUUUUGUCUUGCUUUUCCCUUUCACUGCUGCUUUUCCCUUUCAUGCUGCUUUUCCCUUUCACUGCUGCUUUUCCCUUUCACUGCUGCUUUUCCCUUUCAGUCUUGCUUUUCCCUUUCAGUCUUGCUUUUCCCUUUCAGUCUUGCUUUUCCCUUUCAGUCUUGCUUUUCCCUUUCAGUCUUGCUUUUCCCUUUCACUGCUGCUCUUCCCUUUCACUGCUGCUCUUCCCUUUCACUGCUGCUCUUCCCUUUCACUGCUGCUUUUCCCUUUUAGUCUUGCUUUUCCCUUUCACUGCUGCUUUUCCCUUUUAGUCUUGCUUUUCCCUUUCACUGCUGCUUUUCCCUUUCACUGCUGCUUUUCCCUUUUAGUCUUGCUUUUCCCUUUCACUGCUGCUUUUCCCUUUUAGUCUUGCUUUUCUUUUUCACUCUUGCUUUUCCCUUUUAGUCUUGCUUUUCCCUUUCACUGCUGCUUUUCCCUUUUAGUC